Molecule: long non-coding RNA, 552 nt
Filed under: Ananas comosus (pineapple)
Lineage: Eukaryota; Viridiplantae; Streptophyta; Magnoliopsida; Poales; Bromeliaceae
Description: long non-coding RNA (ACOM_LNC009897)
Source: RNAcentral
CAAAUACAACCCAAACUGGAAUUAGUGUCCAACAAAAACGGUCUAUAGCGACAUUUUUAAAUAUCUGUACAAGUCAAAAAAAGUGCAGCUUUAAGUUACCGACACUUUUAAAAAGUGUUGUUAUAUGUGGGGUCGCUAGGUAUAUAGUGACAGUUAAAGAGUAUCGCUAUAACCUAAAAAGAAUGCUGCUAAUUUAGCAAUAUUUAUUUAAGCAUCUAGCAACCGCCGGAACUCUACUUGUUGGCUGCGGUGGCGGAGGAGGACGAGAGGGAAGGGCCCUUCGUCUAGUAUUUCAGUGAAAUGAGUGAGAGGAGAAGGGAAGAUGGUAAUCGAUUUUUCUUUGUUUUUUUUUCUGUUUGUAAUCGGGCCAAAUGGGUUGGGUUGGAUGGGUUGAGUAGAGUAACCUUUUAUUUUUUAUUAUAUUCGACUUUAUAUUUAGACAUUAGUUGAUAUUUUUUUAAAUUUUGGCAUAAAUAGGACACUUAGAAAAGUGUCCGAAACAUAUGUCGCUAUAAUCUAAUUCUGUUGUAGUGUGGAAUAAGAUAAUAUUAA